GCGCUCGUAGCUCAGUUGGAUAGAGUACCUGGCUACGAACCAGGCGGUCAGAGGUUCGAAUCCUCUCGAGCGCGCCA
RNAcentral lists this transfer RNA (77 nucleotides) under Vibrio cholerae. RNAcentral describes it as "tRNA-Arg". It matches the Rfam family "tRNA". Rfam says of the family: Transfer RNA (tRNA) molecules are approximately 80 nucleotides in length. Their secondary structure includes four short double-helical elements and three loops (D, anti-codon, and T loops). Further hydrogen bonds mediate the characteristic L-shaped molecular structure. tRNAs have two regions of fundamental functional importance: the anti-codon, which is responsible for specific mRNA codon recognition, and the 3' end, to which the tRNAs corresponding amino acid is attached (by aminoacyl-tRNA synthetases). tRNAs cope with the degeneracy of the genetic code in two manners: having more than one tRNA (with a specific anti-codon) for a particular amino acid; and 'wobble' base-pairing, i.e. permitting non-standard base-pairing at the 3rd anti-codon position. The record is from RNAcentral. Lineage: Bacteria; Pseudomonadati; Pseudomonadota; Gammaproteobacteria; Vibrionales; Vibrionaceae. RNAcentral also lists the same sequence under 4 other names.